UCCCCGCCAGUCCAGUGGUUAAGACUCUGUGCUUCCAUUGCAGGGAACACAGGUUAGAUUCCUGCUUGGGGAA
Molecule: transfer RNA, 73 nt
Filed under: Capra hircus (goat)
Lineage: Eukaryota; Metazoa; Chordata; Mammalia; Artiodactyla; Bovidae
Also listed under: 1 other name
Rfam family: tRNA
About the family: Transfer RNA (tRNA) molecules are approximately 80 nucleotides in length. Their secondary structure includes four short double-helical elements and three loops (D, anti-codon, and T loops).
Source: Rfam by way of RNAcentral